This 885-nucleotide long non-coding RNA is filed under the name Rattus norvegicus (Norway rat). RNAcentral's name for it is "long non-coding RNA NONRATT010191". Lineage: Eukaryota; Metazoa; Chordata; Mammalia; Rodentia; Muridae. The record is from RNAcentral.
GCAGCCCCCAGACCGCUGGCUCUCUAAUUCUCACACCAAGCCUUGUUACUGGAUGCAGAACGGGUUCAGUUUGGGCCCGUAGUCGCCUUCAAUCCUGCCACCUUGCUUCCUCUACCUGAGGAGACAGAACAGCAUGACUGCCUAAGUACAUGGAACCAGGCCGGACCUAUCGGACCAGCCUCUUCAGAAUGCUGACCACACAUGGUACACGGAUGACAACAGCUUCUUGGCAGAGGGAGAGCGAAAGGCUGGAGCUGCGGUCACUACGGAGGACAAAGUGAUUUGGGCGAAAGCCCUGCCUGCUGGUACCUCCGCACAACGGGCUGAACUCAUCGCCUUGACUCAGGCGCUCAAGAUGACAAAAGGUAAGAGGCUAAAUAUAUAUAUACAGACAGCCGUUAUGCCUUUGCCACGGCACACAUCCACGGGGAGAUCUACCGGAGGCGGGGGCUGCUCACAUCUGAGGGUAAAGAUAUGGCUAAAAUUCUGGCCCUCUUAGAAGCCCUAUUCUUGCCCAAAAGACUGAGUAUUAUACAUUGUCCAGGACACCAGAAAGGACACAACCCAGAGGCACGAAGAAACCGGCUGGCCGAUGCCACGGCGAGAGAAGCGGCCAUGAACAAACAAAUCUUGCCCUUAAAUAGCCCAGACCAACCCACGCCCCCACCAGUGGGACAAACAGUUGGGUUUAUGCCCAUGAGGACAUAGAGCUCCUAAAAAAAAAUGGGGGCCAUCUACCACCCUCAACUAAAACAGUGGGUCUACAAAAGACUUUUGAAUUGAUCUCCUUUUUACAUAAGAAGAUAAAAACCUUACUAGAUCGAGAAGAGAUAAAUCUGUGUUUUUUUUUUUAAUCGGGACAAAGCGAUACAAAAGGUGACUGAG